RNAcentral lists this ribosomal RNA (1402 nucleotides) under uncultured prokaryote. Its description in RNAcentral is "partial 16S ribosomal RNA". It matches the Rfam family "Bacterial small subunit ribosomal RNA". The record is from RNAcentral.
AUGCUAGCGGUGCGCCUACACAUGCAAGUCGAGCGGUAGUAUUUUCUAGCUUGCUAGAGAAUAUGAGAGCGGCGAACGGGUGAGUAACACGUUGAUAUCUGCCCAUAGGUCAGGGAUAGCCCAGGGAAACCUGGAUUAAUACCGGAUAGUCUCUUCGGAGUAAAAAUUUAUUGCCUAUGGAGGAGUCUGCGGUCUAUCAGCUUGUUGGUGAGGUAAUAGCUCACCAAGGCUAUGACGGAUACCUGGUCUGAGAGGAUGAUCAGGCACAAUGGAACUGAGACACGGUCCAUACUCCUACGGGAGGCAGCAGUGAGGAAUCUUCCACAAUGGACGAAAGUCUGAUGGAGCGACACCGCGUGAAGGAUGAAGGUCUAACGAUUGUAAACUUCUUUUCUGAGGGAGCAUAAUGAGAGUACCUCAGGAAUAAGGGACGGCUAAAUACGUGCCAGCAGCCGCGGUAAUACGUAUGUCCCAAGCGUUACCCGGAAUCACUGGGUGUAAAGGGUUCGUAGGCGGCUUAGAAAGUUGGAUAUUAAAGACCGGAGCUCAACUCCGUGUUUGUGUUCAAAACUGCUAAGCUAGAAUUAGGGAGAGGUAAGCGGAAUUCUGAGUGUAGGGGUGCAAUCCGUAGAUACUCAGAGGAACACCAAAAGCGAAGGCAGCUUACUGGAACUAUAUUGACGCUGAGGAACGAAAGCGUGGGUAGCGAAAAGGAUUAGAUACCCUUGUAGUCCACGCCCUAAACGAUGAUAACUAAGUGUUGCUCCUAGAGGGCAGUGCUGAAGCUAACGCGAUAAGUUAUCCACCUGAGGAGUACGGUCGCAAGAUUAAAACUCAAAGGAAUAGACGGGGACCCACACAAGCGGUGGAGCAUGUGGUUUAAUUCGAUGCAACGCGAAGAACCUUACCUGGGCUUGACAUCCUGGGAAUCCUGUAGAGAUACGGGAGUGCCCUUCGGGGAACUCAGUGACAGGGGCUGCAUGGCUGUCGUCAGCUCGUGUCGUGAGAUGUUGGGUUAAGUCCCGCAACGAGCGCAACCCCUAUCUUUAGUUACUAACAUUAAGUUGAGGACUCUAGAGAGACUGCCAGGGUAAUAACCUGGAGGAAGGUGGGGACGACGUCAAGUCAUCAUGGUCCUUAUGUCCAGGGCUACACACGUGCUACAAUGGCCGGUACAGAGGGCAGCAACGCCGCGAGGUUGAGCGAAUCCCAGAAAGCCGGUCUCAGUUCGGAUUGGAGUCUGCAACUCGACUCCAUGAAGUUGGAAUCGCUAGUAAUCGCGUAUCAGAACGACGCGGUGAAUACGUUCCCGGGCCUUGUACACACCGCCCGUCAAGUCAGCCGAGUUGAUUGCACCCGAAGAAGGUGAGCUAACCGCAAGGAGGCAGCUUUCGAAGGUGUU